AUAAACUGGCCAUGUUUUCUUCGUAUAACCCCAAUAAUAUGGUUUGGGGGUUUCUACCAGUCCCCGGAAAGUGCUGAUUAUGAAGAGUAUAGAUUACAGU
RNAcentral lists this non-coding RNA (100 nucleotides) under Photobacterium damselae. Its description in RNAcentral is "Guanine sequence". It matches the Rfam family "Purine riboswitch aptamer". From Rfam's summary of the family: Riboswitches are metabolite binding domains within certain messenger RNAs that serve as precision sensors for their corresponding targets. Allosteric rearrangement of mRNA structure is mediated by ligand binding, and this results in modulation of gene expression. A class of riboswitches that selectively recognises guanine and becomes saturated at concentrations as low as 5 nM. RNAcentral also lists the same sequence under 1 other name. The record is from RNAcentral. Lineage: Bacteria; Pseudomonadati; Pseudomonadota; Gammaproteobacteria; Vibrionales; Vibrionaceae.